AUUGAACGCUAGCGGGAUGCUUUACACAUGCAAGUCGAACGGAGUGGCGGACGGGUGAGUAAUAUAACGGAACGUGCCCAGUAGGGGGGGAUAACUACUCGAAAGAUUGUCUAAUACCGCAUACUAUUGAUACGGGCGAUAUCGGAUUAGCUAGUUGGUGGGGUAAAGGCUCACCAAGGAAACGAUCCUUAGUAGGUUUGAGAGGACGACCAGCCACACUGGGACUGAGACACGGCCCAGACUCCUACGGGAGGCAGCAGUGGGGAAUUUUGGACAAUGGGGGAAACCCUGACCCAGCAAUCCCGCGUGUAUGAUGAAGGCCUUCGGGUUGUAAAGUACUUUUGGCAGAGAAGCGGUAUCUGCAGAAUAAGCACCGGCUAACUACGUGCCAGCAGCCGCGGUAAUAC
This 407-nucleotide ribosomal RNA is filed under the name uncultured bacterium. RNAcentral's name for it is "partial 16S ribosomal RNA". It matches the Rfam family "Bacterial small subunit ribosomal RNA", at positions 30 to 526 of the family's 1533-position model. The record is from RNAcentral.